UGGGUCUUGAAGUUGUGCCAGGCGUUCCUCUGUGUAGUCAUCUCUGGAGUCAAUCAUCCAGCGAUAGGCCUGAAAGUCAUUGACCCACCAAAUGAUUUCCCAAGGUAUCUGCACUGCCUUUAAAUGAGGAGUCCCUCAGCAGUUCCCCGUGACACCCAGGAUCUGUCCUUACCUGCAUGAGAACAGCAGGACCCAAGUACUUGUCCCCGUUCCACCAGUAACUGGGACAGCUGGUGCUGCAGCAGGCACACAGGAUGCACUCGUAGAGUCCAUCCUGCACACAGAUGAGAGACCACGGUCAAACACAGAAGUGCAGAACUUGAAGAGACAAGUGCAGAAAUUCUAGAUUUUUAUGCAUUCUUUGCUUUCGGCCUGUCCCAGUGAGGAAAAGGUAAGAAUUUUUCAGAUGCCUGUGUGCUUGGAUACAAGAGAAUGCAAGAGAAGCUUUGGUAAGGAGAUAAAAAACAUUACUAAUCAUGAGGAAGAUUGACGUGGCUCUUGCAGCUACUUUUAGGUUUGUUUUUUUACUUAAAUGAGAAAGUGACUUCAAAGAUGCUGCUUUAAGAAAUCAUUGAGAGAAUCCCUUUAAGUCCUUAUAUGUGCCAUCAGAUAACAUUAUGAAGUGGUGUAGGAGAAUUAACUGUCGCCCUUGGAAAGAAAUUCUUUCAAACUGUAAAAUCCCAGGGUUGUUAGGACAGCACACAGCUAGUUGUAUCAUGCUGCUGACAUCCUCGGCACAUGACACGUCUGCUCAUCAGAUGUUAGAUGUCACAGCAAACGCACAUAAUGGGCAACUUUCAAAGAUCGCUGCAAUUAGGCUGCAGUUCGUCUGUUCUCAUUAUAUCCUCUUUAAUUAGCCUUCCUCUGUGUUGCUCACGCUCAUCCCUUUCACCAAAAUCCCUUGCCAAAAUCUAGGCUGCUUGCCCACUGUGAGCCUACUCAGACAAUACUGCAGCAACAAUCACUGCACUGCACUGCCGAGCUUCAAACUGUCGAGCAAAUGAUCCAUCAAGACAGGUCAGAGGCAAAAGAGAAACUGUCAAUUUAUCAACACUUAUUGUAGGAGCCAGAAAAAUCCAGACACUAACUUACCUGCUCUAUAAACUCUUCAAAAAGCUUCCCCCUCCCACCUCUAUAGGCUCAGCUUUUGCCAUUAGUUUCAGGGCUGUAAAACCCAGCGUGCAGCAACACAACAGUGCUGCUUAGGAGACAGAUACGCAGACAGCGCUGCGUUAGACAAACUACUCCCCAGCAUAAAUAGCAUUGCCAGAUCUCUACGUGAAUAUUACAAGCCUCUGCCCUUCACAGUGUUUUUACAAAGACAGAGUUUUGCAGCACAGACAGUGGAAAUGAGGUCAGAGUCCCCAGCACAACUGUGUUCUGCAUGUCAUUAGCAAAUGUUACCCCUAGCAAUGCAGACGUGCCACAGCACUGCGUUUCAGGGAGCGCUUUCCACCCACAUCAGGCUUUGUAACAGACAGUUUUGUCAUUAAAGGAACUAGACGCUACUGCACAUUAAUGUUUAACCCUGGUCUUAUCUGGAAGGGACUUUCAUGGUAAAAAAUAAUUUUAACAAAGGGUAACCAGUUUCUGACGGUCUUCUAUGGAUUGCAGGUACUGCUCCUUGCCCUGUUUCGACUCAUCCUUCUUCUUCAGGUAAGGCUCGAUAGAUUUGUACUGUGCGUAGAAGUUACUCAAGUCCUAGGAGACAAAAGGCAAAAAGAUCACGCUUGAUGUCUGAGAGACUGAACAUCUGUUGUCAUUUAUAGAGAAGGAGGUAUUUUGUACGUCAGCCUGCCGCAUUCCUCCUAACGAGGCCAGAUUUAGUCACCACUGGUAAGCAGACCCACCCAAGCCAGAGAGCAUCAAGAGGAGCUCGGACGUGAAUUGUGGGUCGUGAUCUUGUUGCCAUCUCCCAACAUUAUCCCUUCUAAUCCAACCUGAACCCCAUGCUGUCUGGAAUGGCGUCAGCAUUGGUCACAAGAUGAAGGCAGAUACUUACUGGAACAAGAUCCUUCACCACAUACAUGUGGGGGAGAGGGUAGAUUUUAGUGAUCUUGCUGAGAUCAGGGUCAAUUUUUUUAGUACAAGCCAGAGUGUUUCCACCAGCAAUGUUCAUCGCACAGGAGCCACAGAUGCCUGAGAAAGAGAACAGAGUAAAGCAGUCGAUGUUCACUCUCUUAUCCUACUUGAGGAAGAUCCUCUUCACCCUGAACUUGCCCCUGGCUUGAUUUCCCUUCUGAUGUCAUCAAGAACCUUGGUACGUGAUGAGGAAAAUGCUACAAGUUGUCACUGGGCCAAGCACAUUGCUAUUCAAACAAAGAAAUGCUGGCACUGUUUUCAUGAAGCUCUAAAUGUAUCCUUGGCGCUGAACUUCCUUCCACAGCAAAACCUGUGGCAUUCAGACACUUCAUCCCUACGUGUCAUACGCUCCACGUGCUGCUUCUCAGAUUUGUUGACAGGUUUGAAACACAAGCAGCUAACAGUGGGAUUACAAAGUGGAGCCACAUGGACCCCCACCAGCCCUACAGUUAGGUUCAGAAGCAUCCCUAAAGGUCAGGAAUGUGAAAAUAAGUUCCCAAGACAGAAGCUCCUUUCUGCGCCUUCUGCAGCAGCUGAAGUUGUGCCAUCCCCUGCUUUCAUUAGCUCCCCGUGGUGAGAGAACACGCACUCACAGAACAAAUAGCAUAUAAAUAGCUUAACAAAUGGGUUAAGCGACACUGCUCGUGACCUCAGUAACACAAGGAACAGAUGCAGCCCAGGAAAGGGCAAGGCUCACAAAAAAAACAUUAUAGAGCUGUCUCUGAUACUGCUCAGGUCAGAAGCUCUGGCAUUCAAUCUUGGACUGAUUCCUAAGGCAUUAUAUUGGAAAGAUGACAAGUGCUGAAAGGGCGUCACUAAUUUCAGAGGAUUUGACACACAUCAGUUGAUAGAGUCAGGGAAAUGCCACUACUGCUCACACUGAGUGAGCCAGUCCUCAGCGCCUGGUGUGCAGGCAACCCUUCCCACAAGGGCUGGCACUUGGACAAAGUUAUUUCUCCCACUCACUGAGUGGUUACAAGUAUUUUCCAGUAAACUCGAGAAGGGGCCAGGACAAUUAGAGACCACGUGUAAGAAACCGGAACACAUGAUCAGAUUUUUUUCCCCUGUAUGGUAGAAAAGGACAACAUCAAACCAACCAAGCUUAGGAACCUGUCUUUAGAUUCUCAAAGAAAACUAUUCAGUGCAAUUACUUCCAGCUGCUCAGGAACAGUGUUUGCUAUAUAAAUAUCAGACACGGACAACAAUCACACUGGAUAAAAUUCCUCCACUGCUAUGCAGAUUCUGCCAGAAAUGUCUGUGUUGAAGCAUGCUUUUCAUUUAGAUCUGAGUCAGGACGUCUUUAGGCAUCAGGCAAUUGCACCUAAAUUUCUAGCGCUUGCAAACCCAACCAAUUAAACCAAAAGUUGUUCCAUGAAGACAUUUUCCUCCACAAUAAUCUUAAUCUCAGCAUACCAACAGCACUCAUGAAUUAAGUCUUUCUUUCCAGGGAAAAGUGUCACUGGGACUGGAAAGUUUGAAUGCAGUCAAAGAUGCUGAUGACUACCUGCCUGAGAACCAGCAGGUAACUCUGCAGCAUGAAACCAGGGGAUGGCCUUCUCCUCACUCUACUUAGUCGAAGGGCUACAGUUCACUGCCAUUCAACACGUCUUUCCCCUCAAUUCUGCUGCUGUAAUGUCUCCUCCCUAAAUUCCCCUACAGAGUCCAUCACUGGAGGGCAGCAAGAUGAACACAAUUAGGAUGGAAACAGGAAUGACUGGGGCUGUUUAUGUGUCUCACUUGUAACUCGGUGUGGGGUGAUUAUAUGCUGUAACUUCACUGCUUGAUUCACUAAGGUAUUUCGUGUUCAAUACCUAGAAAAGAAGAGUGGCAUGCUGUGGUCUGCCCUGAAGUUUUCUAUUGGUUACACACAUGCAGCGUUAGCGUUCGCAUUUUAUUUGGACAACAGUCAGCUUAGCAGAUUGAAAAAUCUUUCUUACCUUCCCUGCAUGACCUGCGGAAGGUCAGAGUGGAGUCCAACUCAUUUUUAAUCUUAAUCAGAGCAUCAAGUACCAUAGGGCCACAUCUAUAGCAGAAAACAAAGUCAGUGAACCUAUAUAAUUUCCCCUGGCUUUAUCUCCAGCACCAACCUAAGAAGCAACUAAAAGGACUUUCAUCUCAGCUACAAUUAAAACUGUACUUUAUUUUGCAACAAGAUAGAAAUCAGUUGCUCAGUGGCACAACUCACAGGCCUCAUCUCUCCCCAGGGUCAAAGCGGGACAGGAGCCAUUUCUUUUACUGAGGCCCAGAUUUGGCUCUGCUGGAGACAGUUCAGACAGCGCAACUGAAAACAAUCCUGAAAGCUCGCACCUCUUAAGUCAAGUUUUGACAAGUCUGCCUAUCCUCAUUAGUCACAGGAAGCAGUGCUGCUUGCAAAAGCAAAGUCUUGGACAACUUAUGUAAUUUUAUAUAUGACAGACAAGACAACACCUAGAAAUUAUUAACUGGGGCAAAUCAAAGCAGCAAAGUCUGAUUUCUGUCACGUGCUUCCCAGGCAGAGCUGCGUGGCUUUGUAUCUGAAGCUUUCAGGAAGGGCUUGAGGUGAAUUCUUCUGGCAAGACCAUAGUAACAGGAGCUCAAGGAAGCGGAGGCACAUGUGCAAAGGUUUCUACACCACAGGGAAGACUGUAUCCUUCCACAGGAUCACUGAGAAAUGAGAGCUUUCUUGGUGAUAACUGCAGUAGGGCGUACAAGCAGCUACUAGAAGUUUAAUUACUUCUAGUUUGCUGGUUGUGUUACAUGUUAAGAGAUUGUAAGAGACAGUAAAACCUUCACCUUAUCUUCAAGGUCUGGGACUGUGAGCUAUGAGUAAAAUUGCUUCCUUUUGGAAUAUGCCCCAAAAUUCACCAUAUAAAUAUAGCUGUUACCAUAUAAUUGCUGACAA
This is a long non-coding RNA of Tympanuchus pallidicinctus (lesser prairie-chicken), 4963 nucleotides long. RefSeq lists it as uncharacterized. Lineage: Eukaryota; Metazoa; Chordata; Aves; Galliformes; Phasianidae. The record is from RefSeq and is a predicted model, not a curated record. The transcript is spliced from 2 exons.